Vitis vinifera (wine grape) is the source of this 449-nucleotide long non-coding RNA. RefSeq lists it as uncharacterized. The record is from RefSeq and is a predicted model, not a curated record. The transcript has 3 exons. Lineage: Eukaryota; Viridiplantae; Streptophyta; Magnoliopsida; Vitales; Vitaceae.
UCAAAAGGAUGCAUUUAAGGUGAUCUGUAAUUGAUGAUAUGCAUGUAACUGAUUGCUCUUUCAUGUAAUUAACCAUACCAUGAACUUAAAUUGUUUUGGUUGCUUAGAAUUUUGUCAAAGACAAAUGUCCGAGAGGCAAAAAAAGCCAAUAGACAGGCUAGAGAAGCCCGAAAAAAGGCCUUGCAGAAAUGAGUUAGUAGACUAAAGCAACAUUUGAAAACAUGAAGUUUAACAAGUUCUACUCAGUCCAGACCGAUGAUACUCCUGACACAUCAAAUGUUAAGGUAUUAUGGGAAAGCUCAUGAAGUUCUGUGAUUGGGCUCAUCAACCACCAGUAUUUCUACUGCAAAAGAUGCCAAUUGGUUUGCAUUGGGGACUAUAGCUAGCUAUUGAUUCUAGGAUAUGUUUCAUGAUGAAAGUUCAUAAUGGAACCCUAAAUGUGUGCUAAA